Molecule: long non-coding RNA, 1843 nt
Organism: Neopsephotus bourkii (Bourke's parrot)
Lineage: Eukaryota; Metazoa; Chordata; Aves; Psittaciformes; Psittacidae
Exons: 3
Source: RefSeq, a predicted model, not a curated record
UUCCUUGUGCUUUUAAGGCUUACUUCUGCUCUCUAAGCAUUGUGAAGCACGGGCAGUUUUCUUGAUCUGUAUUUUGGUAGCAUUCAACAUGUUGGAACUUUGCCGGAGUGGAUCCACUAAAUGGGCAAACUUUACCCUUAAGGGGAGGUGGGGUGGAAUCACUGAUACCAGGUGAAGUGCAUUAUAUAUUUGUUCUACAAGUAGCAGCUGUUCAGUACGGUGCUGGUAGAGCCUUUGUGGAAGAGAGUGCUAUGUGAAUACAAAACCAAGCUUAAGAAUCUGCAGAAACAAAUGUGAAAAGCUCAUACAGACACUGAAAUCCUGUCCCUGUCAAGACACAAAAUGACCUCAGCAAAGAAGAAGCCAAAACAAUUUCUUGACUUUGGGAGAAGAAUGAUUCAGCCCCGAUCUCUCUUCCACCCACAGCCUCCUUCUGGGGCUGUGACUUUGUCUUAUGCUUCAUCAGGAAACACAUUUUUGGCUGAGUUUGACCUCUAGAGUGUGUUGGAUCUUACAGGUAUACUGUCAGAUAGAGUUUGUAUUGGACAUGAAGUACUUCAUUUGAGUAUGUCUAAGUGCUAAGGUUUCAUAUGAAAUUUAUCUCAUGGUUUUCAAUACAUGACUAGUUAUUUAUGUUUUGUUAUUACAGAGUUUCAAGUAAUAUAAAAGUUAAAGGUAAGAAAUACUUUCUGUGCUGUUUAAGAAAGGUAUGGGACCAAGUUUACUUCAGCAGAGAACUGAGUAAAUUGUUGAGAAGCAUGAUAAAAUAGGAUUGUAGAGUCUUCUGGAAUUCUGUGUGGGAGGAUGAAUAGAGUAUGGAAAUAUGUUCCAUUAAUUUCUAAGGGAUAUUCUCUGUGUAUUGAUGAAGGGGCCUGAAUUCUAAUCAGUGCCAUGAAUGAUAUAGUUGAAGAUCAUUAAAUGAAGUAGCUGUAUUAGAUGUUCUGUCCAAUCAUGUUUUAGAACGAAAAUCACAGUGUCAGACCAACCAUGCAUUUAAUGAAGUACCAACAGUCGCUGUUUCUGAAAAAGUCAGGUAUAAACCCUCUGAAUUCUGGAAACUGGCAGCUUAAGAAUAUCUUGUGCUGGGUUAUGAUGUUUAGGUGUAUUUAUCUUCCAUGAACUGAUCAAAUCCCUUUCAUAAGACAUUCUCAUUUUUGACUUCCACAUAUCCUAUGGUAACAAAUUCUUCUGUCUUAUGUCAUUUUACAUGGUACUUCUCCUUUAUUCUUUUACUGUAAAAAAUAAUGACUGGUCAUUCCCCCUAUUCCUUCAAGUUAUCUCUUUUCAACUAAAAUGUUAUUUUGUUUUGUUUCCUACUGUGUUGAAGCUGUUUCUUAUCUGUCAUCUCUUUCUAGUAAAGAUUUCAAUCAAAUGACCUAGAAUUAAAAAGUACCAACCAAUCUGUGUGUAAUACGCUCUGCUUCCAACUCACUGGCAGAAAAAGAAUGAGGAAGAAAUAUGAUCUUAAAAUAUUCAAGACUAGGUAGAAUUCAGGAUCUGAAUCUGUGUGCCACUCCAUACUGUUUCCUGUAGUGGAUAUAAUGUACUUUCAAGGCUUAGAACAGAUGUUAAAGUCAAAAUGUAAUUAAAAAUGGAGAUUAUAAAAAAAAAAAGUGAUAACAUAUGAGAUGUGCUUGCCAAAGUUAGAUCGUGAAUACCUGGGCAAACAGGUAUUUAAAACAAUAGGUUGCCUACAGAAAGUGUAUGUGUACUAGAUGUUUUGCAGCAAAACUUUUGCUAAAGAGCAACAGGGAAGUCCUGAUGUUAGCUGUAGGAGGCUGGGAUUUGUAUGGACACUGAGGGUAAGAACUACGUGAAGAAGAGAGUGGGUUUUGUUGAGAGG